UCAGCGACUGGGGUGAAGUCGUAACAAGGUAGCCGUAGGGGAACCUGCGGCUGGAUCACCUCCUUUCUAAGA
This 72-nucleotide ribosomal RNA is filed under the name Gammaproteobacteria bacterium. RNAcentral's name for it is "partial 16S ribosomal RNA". It matches the Rfam family "Bacterial small subunit ribosomal RNA", at positions 1468 to 1533 of the family's 1533-position model. The record is from RNAcentral. Lineage: Bacteria; Pseudomonadati; Pseudomonadota; Gammaproteobacteria.